Molecule: ribosomal RNA, 750 nt
Filed under: uncultured bacterium
Lineage: Bacteria
Description: bacterial SSU rRNA
Rfam family: Bacterial small subunit ribosomal RNA
Source: RNAcentral
GAGUUUGAUCCUGGCUCAGGAUGAACGCUGGCGGCGUGCCUAACACAUGCAAGUCGAACGAGCAUGUGCAUGAAACCUAGUGAUUGCGCAUGCGAGUGGCGGACGGGUGAGUAACGCGUGGACAACCUGCCGCAUGCAGGGGGAUACCGGCUGGAAACAGCCGCUAAUACCGCAUAUGCGCACAGCGCCGCAUGGCGCAGUGCGGAAAGGGAGCAAUCCCGGCAUGCGAUGGGUCCGCGUCCGAUUAGCUUGUUGGCGGGGCAGCGGCCCACCAAGGCAACGAUCGGUAGCCGGCCUGAGAGGGCGGACGGCCACAUUGGGACUGAGACACGGCCCAGACUCCUACGGGAGGCAGCAGUGGGGGAUAUUGCACAAUGGGGGGAACCCUGAUGCAGCGACGCCGCGUGGGUGAAGGAGUGCUUCGGCAUGUAAAGCCCUAUCGGCAGGGAAGAAGCAAGACGGUACCUGACUAAGAAGCCCCGGCUAACUACGUGCCAGCAGCCGCGGUAAUACGUAGGGGGCGAGCGUUAUCCGGAUUCACUGGGUGUAAAGGGAGCGUAGACGGCCAUGCAAGCCAGGGGUGAAAGCCCGGGGCCCAACCCCGGGACUGCCCUUGGAACUGCAUGGCUGGANUGCGGGAGGGGCAGGCGGAAUUCCUGGUGUAGCGGUGAAAUGCGUANAUAUCAGGAGGAACACCGGGCGGCGAAGGCGGCCUGCUGGACCGCGACUGACGUUGAGGCUCGAAAGCGU